Molecule: ribosomal RNA, 1191 nt
Filed under: Triticum aestivum (bread wheat)
Lineage: Eukaryota; Viridiplantae; Streptophyta; Magnoliopsida; Poales; Poaceae
Description: partial small subunit ribosomal RNA
Source: RNAcentral
AUGAAGGCAGCAUUAAAAACUAUCCUUCCACAAACUCUGCAUAAGCUGUGUCGGUGGCAUAUCAUGAAGAAGUACAAGGACCACCUCGCCUUGCUGUAUAAGGCGCACGAGAAGCUCAAGGACGAACUCAAUGCAGUGCUGAACCACGCACUAAUGCCGUCAGAAUUUGAACGGGCAUGGAAGAACCUCAUUCAGAGGUACAACUUGCAAGACGACGAAGUGAUGAAUUCACUGUGGGAUGACAGGCACGAGUGGAUCUCAGCUUACUACAAGGAAAUUUUUUGUGCUCGGAUGACUUCCACACAGAGAAGCGAGAGCAUGAACCUCAUACUGAAGAAAAAUUUUGUCAGGGAGAAGCAUGAUCUCCAUCUGUUUGCUCAGCAGGUGGACAAGUGCAUUCAGACCAGGAAGGCCGUCGAGCACGCAGAGACAGUAGCAAAUGAGUCAGAGGUAAAAACAACAACAAAGUUUGGCUUCGAAGUUCAGCUAUCAAAAGUGUAUACAAGGGCAGUGUUUGCAGAUUUCAAAGAAACACUCUACCGUAGCACUGCAUUCAGAGCAGAACGGUGCCCUGAGAACCCGACAAAGUAUCUCGUACACCACUACAACAGAUCGGAUGCAUUUGACUGGGCAAGGCAUAAUUUCCAAGUGGUUGCCGAUGAAGAGAAAGGUGUCUACGAAUGUGAGUGCAAACUCUGGACACACACAGGCCUCUUGUGCGUCCAUGUCUUAUGCAUGCUUUCUCAUUUGAGAGUACUCAACAUUCCUGAGGUGUACAUCAUGAAGAGAUACAGCCGUAACGCAAGAUCAGAUGCAACGUUUGACAGAAGAGACUACGAACAAACAGCACCAGAUGGAACCUCGCUUUUUUGCCGUAGAAAAUUGCUGACAGAAACAGCAAUGGACCUUGCAAACAGAGCAACAAGGUUAGACGCUGGGUGCCACAGAGCGUUGUCUGGUAUGAGGGCACUGAUAGAGGAAGUUGACGUGCUCAACGAAGAAGAACAAGAAGAAGCAGCAAAACUAAAGCAAGCAGAGAAAUACCAACAUGAUAAUAAAGCCGAGCAAGAAGAAAAAACUGAACACAUUGGAACUGGUGCUAUCAAAAAAGAAACAAUUCUUCCACCUCUUGUUUCAAACACAAGAGGAAGAAAGAAAGGGGGAGACGCAAACCAGAAAAAGGUGGCAUAA